RNAcentral lists this ribosomal RNA (832 nucleotides) under uncultured Gammaproteobacteria bacterium. Its description in RNAcentral is "bacterial SSU rRNA". It matches the Rfam family "Bacterial small subunit ribosomal RNA", at positions 60 to 887 of the family's 1533-position model. The record is from RNAcentral. Lineage: Bacteria; Pseudomonadati; Pseudomonadota; Gammaproteobacteria.
AGUCGUGCGAGAAAGUAUCUUCGGAUAUGAUUAGAGCGGCGGACGGGUGAGUAACGCGUAGGAAUCUACCUAGUAGAAGGGGAUAGCCCGAGGAAACUCGGAUUAAUACCGUAUACCUCCUUCGGGAGAAAGAAGGCCUCUCUUUGAAGCUUUCGCUACUAGAUGAGCCUGCGUAAGAUUAGCUUGUUGGUGAGGUAAAGGCUCACCAAGGCGACGAUCUUUAGCGGGUCUGAGAGGACGAUCCGCCACAUUGGGACUGAGACACGGCCCAGACUCCUACGGGAGGCAGCAGUGGGGAAUAUUGGACAAUGGGCGCAAGCCUGAUCCAGCCAUACCGCGUGUGUGAAGAAGGCCUUAGGGUUGUAAAGCACUUUAAGUUGGGAAGAAAGGUUAUUGGCUAAUACCCAAUGACUGUGACAUUACCAUCAGAAUAAGGACCGGCUAAUUCCGUGCCAGCAGCCGCGGUAAUACGGAAGGUCCAAGCGUUAAUCGGAAUUACUGGGCGUAAAGCGCGCGUAGGUGGUUUAUUAAGUUGGAUGUGAAAUCCCCGGGCUCAACCUGGGAACUGCAUUCAAAACUGGUUCACUAGAGUACGAUAGAGGGAGGUAGAAUUCACAGUGUAGCGGUGGAAUGCGUAGAUAUUGUGAAGAAUACCAAUGGCGAAGGCAGCCUCCUGGAUCUGUACUGACACUGAGGUGCGAAAGCGUGGGUAGCGAACAGGAUUAGAUACCCUGGUAGUCCACGCCGUANACGAUGUCAACUAGCUGUUGGAAAGCACUGCUUUUCAGUGGCGCAGCUAACGUAGUAGGUUGACCGCCUGGGGAGUACGGCC